This 171-nucleotide ribosomal RNA is filed under the name uncultured bacterium. RNAcentral's name for it is "partial 16S ribosomal RNA". It matches the Rfam family "Bacterial small subunit ribosomal RNA", at positions 1322 to 1500 of the family's 1533-position model. The record is from RNAcentral.
GAAGCUGGAUUCGCUAGUAAUCGCGCAUCAGCCACGGCGCGGUGAAUACGUUCCCGGGCCUUGUACACACCGCCCGUCAAGCCAUGGAAGCCGGGGGCGCCUGAAGUCCGGGACCGCGAGGACCGGCCUAGGGCGAAACUGGUAACUGGGGCUAAGUCGUAACAAGGUAGC